This 275-nucleotide long non-coding RNA is filed under the name Carica papaya (papaya). Its description in RNAcentral is "long non-coding RNA (CPAP_LNC015939)". Lineage: Eukaryota; Viridiplantae; Streptophyta; Magnoliopsida; Brassicales; Caricaceae. The record is from RNAcentral.
AGAUUUUCUUCUUUCUAUGAUGGAAAACAAGUCUCUUCCUUCCGGAGGUGAUGGAAGCGGUUUCAGCCCUUCACUAUUUUUUUAUCUCAAUCUCCCCUCAACUAAGACACAAUUAGACUUUUAAAAACUGAACUUUAUGGAGGAAUAAGCACCUCACCAUGUCUCCAAUAGAAAUUCCUUUUGGUCCUCAAUUGAUAAGUACCAUCUUUCUCCUCUCCACUAAGUCGAGUGGCUUUCAGUCCUUGCCCAUUUUUUUCUAGUUGGGCGUUAACUUU